RNAcentral lists this ribosomal RNA (655 nucleotides) under uncultured Bacteroidota bacterium. Its description in RNAcentral is "bacterial SSU rRNA". It matches the Rfam family "Bacterial small subunit ribosomal RNA", at positions 50 to 697 of the family's 1533-position model. Lineage: Bacteria; Pseudomonadati; Bacteroidota. The record is from RNAcentral.
AACACAUGCAAGUCGCGGGGCAGCAUGGGGGCAGCAAUGCCCCUGAUGGCGACCGGCGCACGGGUGAGUAACGCGUAUCCAACCUGCCCGGCACCCCGGUAUAGCCUUCCGAAAGGAAGAUUAAUCCCGGAUGUUGCGGUGAUUCCGCAUGGAAUUACCGCUAAAGGCCAGCGGUGCCGGAUGGGGAUGCGUUCCAUUAGGUAGUUGGAGGGGUAACGGCCCACCAAGCCUACGAUGGAUAGGGGUUCUGAGAGGAAGGUCCCCCACAUUGGAACUGAGACACGGUCCAAACUCCUACGGGAGGCAGCAGUGAGGAAUAUUGGUCAAUGGGCGCAGGCCUGAACCAGCCAAGUAGCGUGGAGGAUGACGGCCCUACGGGUUGUAAACUUCUUUUAGCGGGGAAUAAAGUGGCCCACGCGUGGACCAUUGCAUGUACCCUCUGAAUAAGCAUCGGCUAACUCCGUGCCAGCAGCCGCGGUAAUACGGAGGAUGCGAGCGUUAUCCGGAUUUAUUGGGUUUAAAGGGAGCGUAGACGGGCCGUUAAGUCAGUUGUGAAAGUUCGGGGCUCAACCUUGGAAUUGCAGUUGAAACUGGCGGUCUUGAGUGGGGUAUAGGAAGGCGGAAUUCGUGGUGUAGCGGUGAAAUGCUUAGAUAU